Jaculus jaculus (lesser Egyptian jerboa) is the source of this 131-nucleotide small nucleolar RNA. The record is from Ensembl. NCBI's taxonomy places the organism in Eukaryota, Metazoa, Chordata, Mammalia, Rodentia, Dipodidae.
GCUGAGACUAGAAUCACAUCCUGACAUGGACCUUGUCCUGGUGUGCUAGAGUUCUCAGAGAUGAUCUGCCGGUCUUGAUUCACUGGCAGGGACAGCUGGUGCUCCUUUUAGUGCCCAGAUCAGGAAUAUGA